UACCCUUGUGAUAACCCUUGGGAAGGAGCC
Molecule: non-coding RNA, 30 nt
Filed under: Mus musculus (house mouse)
Lineage: Eukaryota; Metazoa; Chordata; Mammalia; Rodentia; Muridae
Source: RNAcentral